Molecule: long non-coding RNA, 206 nt
Filed under: Elaeis guineensis (African oil palm)
Lineage: Eukaryota; Viridiplantae; Streptophyta; Magnoliopsida; Arecales; Arecaceae
Description: long non-coding RNA (EGUI_LNC012872)
Source: RNAcentral
UAAGUGGUAGAAAUGGGGGGAGCCGUCGUAAAGAGGGAGAGCUUAUAGACAGACUUGGAGAAGGACAACAAGGAGGAGAAGGAGAUGAGGAGGAAGGAAAAAGGGAAAGAGGAGUUGUCGGUGAGAAAGAGCGAGGAUGGAGGGAGCUGUCAUGGAGAUAGAGGGAUCAUAUACAGCCUUAGAGGUAGAGGAGGACGAGGAAGAGG